CUACAGCCACUUAAGCUGACCAGGUCCCUUUUUUGAUGGAGGCCUUGUAUGCAGUGGCUGCAAACAGCAUUGUCCUUAGUAGUACAUACUGCCUUUUUCCUGCAUGGGCUGCCCUAAGGGAUCUUGGAGACAAUU
This is a small nucleolar RNA of Cricetulus griseus (Chinese hamster), 135 nucleotides long. Its record names the gene SNORA70. It matches the Rfam family "Small nucleolar RNA SNORA70". Rfam says of the family: snoRNA U70 seems to be exclusive to mammals and is a member of the H/ACA class of snoRNA which contain H (ANANNA) and ACA box motifs. H/ACA box snoRNAs are involved in the conversion of uridines to pseudouridines (5-ribosyluracil) a constituent of structural RNAs (transfer, ribosomal, small nuclear, and small nucleolar). NCBI's taxonomy places the organism in Eukaryota, Metazoa, Chordata, Mammalia, Rodentia, Cricetidae. The record is from Ensembl.